GGGGAAUCUUGCGCAAUGGGCGAAAGCCUGACGCAGCGACGCCGCGUGAGCGAAGAAGGCCUUCGGGUCGUAAAGCUCAGUCAUUGGGGAUGAGAUGACAGUACCCAAGGAGGAAGCCCCGGCUAACUACGUGCCAGCAGCCGCGGUAAUACGUAGGGGGCGAGCGUUGUCCGGAAUUACUGGGUGUAAAGGGCGUGUAGGCGGGGGUGCAAGUUACCGGUAAAAACCCAGGGCUCAACUCUGGGCUUGCCGGUAAAACUGCAUCUCUUGAGUGUAGGAGAGGGAAGUGGAAUUCCCGGAGUAGCGGUGAAAUGCGUAGAUACCGGGAGGAACACCAGUGGCGAAGGCGGCUUCCUGGCCUACAACUGACGCUGAGGCGCGAAAGCUAGGGUAGCGAACG
This 400-nucleotide ribosomal RNA is filed under the name uncultured Tepidanaerobacter sp. RNAcentral describes it as "bacterial SSU rRNA". It matches the Rfam family "Bacterial small subunit ribosomal RNA", at positions 356 to 774 of the family's 1533-position model. The record is from RNAcentral. Lineage: Bacteria; Bacillati; Bacillota; Clostridia; Thermosediminibacterales; Tepidanaerobacteraceae.